RNAcentral lists this ribosomal RNA (506 nucleotides) under uncultured bacterium. RNAcentral describes it as "partial 16S ribosomal RNA". It matches the Rfam family "Bacterial small subunit ribosomal RNA", at positions 37 to 537 of the family's 1533-position model. The record is from RNAcentral.
GACGAACGCUGGCGGCGUGCUUAACACAUGCAAGUCGAACGGAAAGGCCCUGCUUGCAGGGUACUCGAGUGGCGAACGGGUGAGUAACACGUGGGUGAUCUGCCCUGCACUUCGGGAUAAGCCUGGGAAACUGGGUCUAAUACCGGAUAGGAGCCAUUUUUAGUGUGAUGGUUGGAAAGUUUUUUCGGUGUAGGAUGAGCUCGCGGCCUAUCAGCUUGUUGGUGGGGUAGUGGCCUACCAAGGCGGCGACGGGUAGCCGGCCUGAGAGGGUGGACGGCCACGGGGGAAGGGGGGAGUGGCCGAGGCGUGAGGGGGAGGGGGCGGUGGGGAAUAGUGGAGGGGGCGCGGAGGCGUGGUGCGGAGGGGUCGGGGGGGGGAGGCGCGCUGUCGGGUUGUAUACUCAUGGUGCGAUGGAGGAUUUUUUUGGUGACGGUGAUUAGAAAAGUGCAAGCGGCUAACUACCGGCCAGCAGCGGCGGUAAUAAGCGGACGAGAACAGUGCCGAUC